GACAGAGGGUGCAAACGUUGUUCGGAAUUACUGGGCGUAAAGCGAGUGUAGGCGGUUCGGUAAGUCGGAUGUGAAAGCCCCGGGCUCAACCCGGGAAGUGCACUCGAUACUGCCGAGCUAGAGUAUCGGAGAGGUUGGUGGAAUUCUCGGUGUAGAGGUGAAAUUCGUAGAUAUCGAGAGGAACACCGGUGGCAAAGGCGGCCAACUGGACGAAUACUGACGCUGAGACUCGAAAGCGUGGGGAGCAAACAGG
RNAcentral lists this ribosomal RNA (253 nucleotides) under uncultured bacterium. RNAcentral describes it as "partial 16S ribosomal RNA". It matches the Rfam family "Bacterial small subunit ribosomal RNA", at positions 524 to 776 of the family's 1533-position model. The record is from RNAcentral.